Molecule: ribosomal RNA, 497 nt
Filed under: uncultured bacterium
Lineage: Bacteria
Description: partial 16S ribosomal RNA
Rfam family: Bacterial small subunit ribosomal RNA
Source: RNAcentral
GAUGAACGCUGGCGGCGUGCCUAAUACAUGCAAGUCGAGCGAACAGACGAGGAGCUUGCUCCUCUGACGUUAGCGGCGGACGGGUGAGUAACACGUGGAUAACCUACCUAUAAGACUGGGAUAACUUCGGGAAACCGGAGCUAAUACCGGAUAAUAUAUUGAACCGCAUGGUUCAAUAGUGAAAGACGGUUUUGCUGUCACUUAUAGAUGGAUCCGCGCCGCAUUAGCUAGUUGGUAAGGUAACGGCUUACCAAGGCAACGAUGCGUAGCCGACCUGAGAGGGUGAGCGGCCACCCUGGAACUGAGCCACGGUCCAGACUCCUACGGGAGGCAGCAGUAGGGAAUCUUCCGCAAUGGGCGAAAGCCUGACGGAUCAACGCCGCGUGAGUGAUGAAGGUCUUCGGAUCGUAAAACUCUGUUAUUAGGGAAGAACAUAUGUGUAAGUAACUGUGCACAUCUUGACGGUACCUAAUCAGAAAGCCACGGCUAACUACGUG